UACCUACGGGUGGCAGCAGCCGCGGUAAUACGUAGGGGGCAAGCGUUAUCCGGAUUCAUUGGGCGUAAAGCGCGCGUAGGCGGCUUGUUAAGUCAGAUGUGAAAACCGGGGGCUCAACCCGCGGCCUGCAUCUGAAACUGGCAGGCUUGAGUCUGGUAGAGGAAAGUGGAAUUCCUGGUGUAGCGGUGAAAUGCGCAGAUAUCAGGAGGAACACCAGUGGCGAAGGCGGCUUUCUGGGCCACGACUGACGCUGAGGCGCGAAAGCUAGGGGAGCGAACAGGAUUAGAUACCCGGGUAGUCC
RNAcentral lists this ribosomal RNA (301 nucleotides) under uncultured bacterium. RNAcentral's name for it is "bacterial SSU rRNA". It matches the Rfam family "Bacterial small subunit ribosomal RNA", at positions 498 to 796 of the family's 1533-position model. The record is from RNAcentral.